RNAcentral lists this transfer RNA (73 nucleotides) under Camelus bactrianus (Bactrian camel). It matches the Rfam family "tRNA". From Rfam's summary of the family: Transfer RNA (tRNA) molecules are approximately 80 nucleotides in length. Their secondary structure includes four short double-helical elements and three loops (D, anti-codon, and T loops). The record is from Rfam by way of RNAcentral. RNAcentral also lists the same sequence under 1 other name. Lineage: Eukaryota; Metazoa; Chordata; Mammalia; Artiodactyla; Camelidae.
GGGAGUAUAGAUCAAGUGGUAGAGCACAUGCUUAGCAUGCACAAGGUCCUGGGUUCAAUCCCCAGUACCUCCC